UACAUGGGGUGCAACCGUUGCUCGGAAUUAUUGGGCGUAAAGCGCACGUAGGCGGUCCGUUAAGUCGGAUGUGAAAGCCCCCGGCUCAACCGUGGAAGUGCACUCGAAACUGCGCAGCUAGAGUCCUGGAGAGGAAGGUGGAAUGCUUGGUGUAGAGGUGAAAUUCGUAGAUAUCAAGCGGAACACCGGUGGCGAAGGCGGCCUUCUGGACAGUGACUGACGCUGAGAUGCGAAAGCGUGGGGAGCAAACAGG
This 253-nucleotide ribosomal RNA is filed under the name uncultured bacterium. Its description in RNAcentral is "partial 16S ribosomal RNA". It matches the Rfam family "Bacterial small subunit ribosomal RNA", at positions 524 to 776 of the family's 1533-position model. The record is from RNAcentral.